UACGUAGGUGGCGAGCGUUGUCCGGAUUUACUGGGCGUAAAGGGAGCGUAGGCGGACUUUUAAGUGAGAUGUGAAAUACCAGAGCUCAACUUGGGUGCUGCAUUUCAAACUGGAAGUCUAGAGUGCAGGAGAGGAGAAUGGAAUUCCUAGUGUAGCGGUGAAAUGCGUAGAGAUUAGGAAGAACACCAGUGGCGAAGGCGAUUCUCUGGACUGUAACUGACGCUGAGGCUCGAAAGCGUGGGGAGCAAACAGGAUUAGA
RNAcentral lists this ribosomal RNA (259 nucleotides) under uncultured prokaryote. RNAcentral describes it as "partial 16S ribosomal RNA". It matches the Rfam family "Bacterial small subunit ribosomal RNA", at positions 524 to 782 of the family's 1533-position model. The record is from RNAcentral.